UCAACUGAUUUGAAGAGCUUGCUCAGAUAUGACGAUGGACAUUGCAAAGAGUGGCGAACGGGUGAGUAACACGUGGGAAACCUACCUCUUAGCAGGGGAUAACAUUUGGAAACAGAUGCUAAUACCGUAUAACAAUAGCAACCGCAUGGUUGCUACUUAAAAGAUGGUUCUGCUAUCACUAAGAGAUGGUCCCGCGGUGCAUUAGUUAGUUGGUGAGGUAAUGGCUCACCAAGACGAUGAUGCAUAGCCGAGUUGAGAGACUGAUCGGCCACAAUGGGACUGAGACACGGCCCAUACUCCUACGGGAGGCAGCAGUAGGGAAUCUUCCACAAUGGGCGAAAGCCUGAUGGAGCAACGCCGCGUGUGUGAUGAAGGGUUUCGGCUCGUAAAACACUGUUGUAAGAGAAGAAUGACAUUGAGAGUAACUGUUCAAUGUGUGACGGUAUCUUACCAGAAAGGAACGGCUAAAUACGUGCCAGCAGCCGCGGUAAUACGUAUGUUCCAAGCGUUAUCCGGAUUUAUUGGGCGUAAAGCGAGCGCAGACGGUUAUUUAAGUCUGAAGUGAAAGCCCUCAGCUCAA
RNAcentral lists this ribosomal RNA (580 nucleotides) under Weissella cibaria. RNAcentral's name for it is "bacterial SSU rRNA". It matches the Rfam family "Bacterial small subunit ribosomal RNA", at positions 62 to 612 of the family's 1533-position model. The record is from RNAcentral. Lineage: Bacteria; Bacillati; Bacillota; Bacilli; Lactobacillales; Lactobacillaceae.